GAGUUUGAUCAUGGCUCAGAUUGAACGCUGGCGGCAGGCCUAACACAUGCAAGUCGAACGGUAACAGGAAGCAGCUUGCUGCUUCGCUGACGAGUGGCGGACGGGUGAGUAAUGUCUGGGAAACUGCCUGAUGGAGGGGGAUAACUACUGGAAACGGUAGCUAAUACCGCAUAACGUCGCAAGACCAAAGAGGGGGACCUUCGGGCCUCUUGCCAUCGGAUGUGCCCAGAUGGGAUUAGCUUGUUGGUGGGGUAACGGCUCACCAAGGCGACGAUCCCUAGCUGGUCUGAGAGGAUGACCAGCCACACUGGAACUGAGACACGGUCCAGACUCCUACGGGAGGCAGCAGUGGGGAAUAUUGCACAAUGGGCGCAAGCCUGAUGCAGCCAUGCCGCGUGUAUGAAGAAGGCCUUCGGGUUGUAAAGUACUUUCAGCGGGGAGGAAGGGAGUAAAGUUAAUACCUUUGCUCAUUGACGUUACCCGCAGAAGAAGCACCGGCUAACUCCGUGCCAGCAGCCGCGGUAAUACGGAGGGUGCAAGCGUUAAUCGGAAUUACUGGGCGUAAAGCGCACGCAGGCGGUUUGUUAAGUCAGAUGUGAAAUCCCCGGGCUCAACCUGGGAACUGCAUCUGAUACUGGCAAGCUUGAGUCUCGUAGAGGGGGGUAGAAUUCCAGGUGUAGCGGUGAAAUGCGUAGAGAUCUGGAGGAAUACCGGUGGCGAAGGCGGCCCCCUGGACGAAGACUGACGCUCAGGUGCGAAAGCGUGGGGAGCAAACAGGAUUAGAUACCCUGGUAGUCCACGCCGUAAACGAUGUCGACUUGGAGGUUGUGCCCUUGAGGCGUGGCUUCCGGAGCUAACGCGUUAAGUCGACCGCCUGGGGAGUACGGCCGCAAGGUUAAAACUCAAAUGAAUUGACGGGGGCCCGCACAAGCGGUGGAGCAUGUGGUUUAAUUCGAUGCAACGCGAAGAACCUUACCUGGUCUUGACAUCCACGGAAGUUUUCAGAGAUGAGAAUGUGCCUUCGGGAACCGUGAGACAGGUGCUGCAUGGCUGUCGUCAGCUCGUGUUGUGAAAUGUUGGGUUAAGUCCCGCAACGAGCGCAACCCUUAUCCUUUGUUGCCAGCGGUCCGGCCGGGAACUCAAAGGAGACUGCCAGUGAUAAACUGGAGGAAGGUGGGGAUGACGUCAAGUCAUCAUGGCCCUUACGACCAGGGCUACACACGUGCUACAAUGGCGCAUACAAAGAGAAGCGACCUCGCGAGAGCAAGCGGACCUCAUAAAGUGCGUCGUAGUCCGGAUUGGAGUCUGCAACUCGACUCCAUGAAGUCGGAAUCGCUAGUAAUCGUGGAUCAGAAUGCCACGGUGAAUACGUUCCCGGGCCUUGUACACACCGCCCGUCACACCAUGGGAGUGGGUUGCAAAAGAAGUAGGUAGCUUAACCUUCGGGAGGGCGCUUACCACUUUGUGAUUCAUGACUGGGGUGAAGUCGUAACAAGGUAACCGUAGGGGAACCUGCGGU
RNAcentral lists this ribosomal RNA (1519 nucleotides) under Escherichia coli 2-474-04_S3_C3. Its description in RNAcentral is "bacterial SSU rRNA". It matches the Rfam family "Bacterial small subunit ribosomal RNA". The record is from RNAcentral. Lineage: Bacteria; Pseudomonadati; Pseudomonadota; Gammaproteobacteria; Enterobacterales; Enterobacteriaceae.